GACGAACGCUGGCGGCGUGCUUAACACUUGCAAGUCGCACGGAAAGGCCCUGCUUUUGUGGGGUGCUCGAGUGGCGAACGGGUGAGUAACACGUGAGUAACCUCCCCUUGACUUUGGGAUAACUUCAUGAAACUGGGGCUAAUACCGGCUAGGAGCUCCUGCUUCCUGGUGUGGGUUGGAAAGUUUCGGCGGUUGGGGAUGUACUCGCGGCUUAUCAGCUUGUUGGUGGGGUAGUGGCUUACCAAGGCUUUGACGGGUAGCCGGCCUGAGAGGGUGACCGGCCAGAUUGGGACUGAGAUACGGCCCAGACUACUACGGGAGGCAGCAGUGGGGAAUAUUGCACAAUGGGCGGAAGCCUGAUGCAGCAACGCAGCGUGCGGGAUGACGGCCUUCGGGUUGUAAACCGCUUUCGCCUGUGACGAAGCGUGAGUGACGGUAAUGGGUAAAGAAGCACCGGCUAACUACGUG
Molecule: ribosomal RNA, 468 nt
Filed under: uncultured bacterium
Lineage: Bacteria
Description: partial 16S ribosomal RNA
Rfam family: Bacterial small subunit ribosomal RNA
Source: RNAcentral